RNAcentral lists this non-coding RNA (715 nucleotides) under Capsala katsuwoni. Lineage: Eukaryota; Metazoa; Platyhelminthes; Monogenea; Capsalidea; Capsalidae. The record is from RNAcentral.
AAUUAGUUUAAUUGUGGCUAUAAUAAGCUUCCUUUCACAAAAUUACAUAGCUUUCUAUUCUGUAAUCCCCUAGACAAUUAAGUUAGGGGUGCUAGUAAUGGGUUUUUUAUUAGACAGGCAACUGUGCUAAGGUUGUGGGGUUUACGAAGCGGAUAAUUCACAGUGCCAGCAUCCGCGGUUAUUCUGUGGCUUCAGCUUAUUUUAUAUUUAUAGUUAAUCCUUAAUUUUUCCUUGGGGGUCAUAUCUUUAAGGAUUAUUAUAAUAUAAGGUUUUACUUACUAAAAAAUUCUUUUUAAACGUGAAUUAGAUACUCAUCUAUAUAAUACUAUAAAUUAAUUUUAGAAUAAACUAAAACAAUUUGGCAGCUGACUAAUCUUUAUUGGGGAUGGUGUGUAGUAAAAGAUAUUCCGCUUUUUAUUUUACCUGUGUUAAUUAGUUGGUGUACGUCCGGUUUGACAUCAGCAACCUAGAUUUAAUGGUUGGUGCAUACUUAUACAGUUUAAGCUAGGUCAAUGUGCUACUUAAACACAGGAUUACAUUCCAUACACUUAAAAUAAUAAAAAGAAUAUAUAAUCAUUUCGGACUAAUUAGUAAAUAUUUUAUAAAUGUUAUAUUGAAUCAAGUUUGGUUGGGGUACAUACCGCCCGUCAAUCUCGAUUUUAAUUGAGAUAAGUCGUAACAUGGUAGCCCUAGGGGAACCUGGGGCUAGUAGGCC